ACCACCACCCCCCACCCCGGGGCCCUCUCCUUUCCUUCAGUCAAUCUGAGCAAAGAGGAACCCGCGCAAAUUGAGAGAGGGAGCGGGGGUGAGGGCGGAGGGGACACGGGCACUGCACACCGGAGCCGGGCCGGCCCUUCCGCACCUCCUCACCCUCCCCGGAGCCGAGAGGAGCGGGCGGGACUCACCGCACAGCAUGAAGAGCAGCACGCAGGCCAGGGUGGCCACGAUCACCAGCAAGCAGAACAUGCUGUUCAGCAACCACUCAAAGCUAACAUGGAUGGCAGAGGUCUGCUGUGCUCAGUGCCUGGGAUCCAACUAAAUACAUGGCAUCACCCUCCAUACAAAACAGAUAAAGAAAAGCAAGAAAAGAGUGUUUUGUAUUACCAUGUUCUUAGGUCUGGAUUUGGCUUGACAUGAUAACUCCCACCUGUUUGGACUAAAAAGAAAUUGAAAUAAAAAUUGUGAGGCUGAAGCUUUCCA
RNAcentral lists this long non-coding RNA (483 nucleotides) under Calidris pugnax (ruff). RNAcentral describes it as "lncRNA (ENSCPUG00000002138.1)". Lineage: Eukaryota; Metazoa; Chordata; Aves; Charadriiformes; Scolopacidae. The record is from RNAcentral.